UCCUGGAGACAUCUACAGAGCCAUCACCAGCACACUGAAGGCUCUUCUGAAAGACAAAAGUCUGACUUUCCAGAAGAGCAGUUGGUAUGGUGAUGAUCUCUGUCCUGCUGCCUGGGACUACGUAUUCAGCCUGGACCUUCUCUGUGCACAACUGGGCUGGAUUUGGACCGUCUCCCAUGUUAUACGAAAAAGUGUGUGGCUCAUUUUGAACACUUGGCUGAAACAAACACAAACAGAGGAAACAAAGUUCAGAAACGUCUCUGUAGCAGCAAUAUUCAGGCUACUUGGGCGACUUGGCCAACAAGGCCUUAAGGAGAACGUGGCAGCAUCAGUUGAGGAUCUGGUGAAAAGUGUAAAUGAGUUCAGGGGGCAAAAAGAUUUGCCGUGGGAGCUGCAGCUCGCAGUGGUUUAUGCCACUCAUGAUCUGGCACCCAGCAACCCCAAAGUCGCUCUGAACGCUUUGGAGUCGUGGAGAAAAGACCUCACAAAGCCCGUUCCUCCAGCCGUCACCAAGUGCCUGAAGCAGAUCAGCUUCCUCUGUUCUCACAUAAAUACAAAACAAUUAAUUACAUUAAAUAUUGUUUAAUAGAUUGUUUUUUUCUUUUAUAUUUUUGUAGAUAAAUAAAUAAAUAAAAUACAUAAUAGAUCUGCACAGUGUUAUUGAUCGUCUCUUUACAGUGGCGGGUCGUGCAUUUUACACCCAAUCAUCUGCCUUCAGUCCCAAUCAUCCUCUUAAUAACAUCAAUAUGAUGCC
This is an RNA transcript of Silurus meridionalis, 754 nucleotides long. It is a transcript of the gene named little elongation complex subunit 1-like, with no coding region annotated. NCBI's taxonomy places the organism in Eukaryota, Metazoa, Chordata, Actinopteri, Siluriformes, Siluridae. The transcript has 4 exons. The record is from RefSeq and is a predicted model, not a curated record.